UACGUAGGGGGCGAGCGUUGUCCGGAAUUAUUGGGCGUAAAGAGCUUGUAGGCGGUUUGUCGCGUCUGCUGUGAAAAUCCGGGGCUCAACCCCGGACUUGCAGUGGGUACGGGCAGACUAGAGUGCGGUAGGGGAGAUUGGAAUUCCUGGUGUAGCGGUGGAAUGCGCAGAUAUCAGGAGGAACACCGAUGGCGAAGGCAGAUCUCUGGGCCGUAACUGACGCUGAGGCACAAAAGCGUGGGGAGCAAACAGGA
RNAcentral lists this ribosomal RNA (254 nucleotides) under uncultured bacterium. RNAcentral's name for it is "partial 16S ribosomal RNA". It matches the Rfam family "Bacterial small subunit ribosomal RNA", at positions 524 to 777 of the family's 1533-position model. The record is from RNAcentral.